RNAcentral lists this small RNA (439 nucleotides) under Pongo abelii (Sumatran orangutan). RNAcentral's name for it is "processed transcript". Lineage: Eukaryota; Metazoa; Chordata; Mammalia; Primates; Hominidae. The record is from RNAcentral.
UGAAGAUGACAAGACCGAAGAGGACGUGCCCAUGCCCAAGAACUACCUGUGGCUCACCAUUGUCUCGUGUUUUUGCCCUGCGUACCCCAUCAACAUCGUGGCUUUGGUCUUUUCCAUCAUGUCUCUGAACAGCUACAACGAUGGAGACUACGAAGGAGCCAGGCGGCUUGGGCGGAAUGCUAAGUGGGUAGCCAUCGCCUCCAUCAUCAUUGGCCUUCUCAUCAUCGGCAUUUCUUGUGCAGUUCACUUCACAAGGAAAGGGGCUGGAAAAAUCUGACAUUAGAGGAGUCGAAGCCUGAAGAUGAGCCCAAAACCCAUGAAUCUUGCCUGAGGAACCAGCGGUCAGCAGGCUGUGAGCGUGGAGGAUGGACCUCAUCCACACACACCCCAAAGGAGUUUCUAAGGAAUGGAUCCUUGACUUCAGACUGUGAGAUCUUUU